Molecule: ribosomal RNA, 253 nt
Filed under: uncultured bacterium
Lineage: Bacteria
Description: partial 16S ribosomal RNA
Rfam family: Bacterial small subunit ribosomal RNA
Source: RNAcentral
GACGUAGGGGGCCAGCGUUGUUCGGAAUUACUGGGUGUAAAGGGUUCGUAGGCGGUGCGGCAAGUUGGGAGUGAAAUCUCUGGGCUUAACCCAGAGGCUGCUUCCAAAACUGCUGUGCUUGAGUGUGGGAGAGGCGCGUGGAAUUGCAGGUGUAGCGGUGAAAUGCGCAGAUAUCUGCAGGAACACCCGUGGCGAAAGCGGCGCGCUGGACCACUACUGACGCUGAGGAACGAAAGCUAGGGGAGCAAACAGG